Molecule: unclassified non-coding RNA, 243 nt
Filed under: Hevea brasiliensis (rubber tree)
Lineage: Eukaryota; Viridiplantae; Streptophyta; Magnoliopsida; Malpighiales; Euphorbiaceae
Source: RNAcentral
UGACAAGUAGGCACAAAAGAUAAGUUGAAUCCCUUGGUGCAAGUCCUAUCCUUAAAAGUUCUCCGCGCUUACAAUGUUAAGAAAAUCAAUAGAUAUUAGCAGCACCGCCAACGAAGCAAAUAAGAAAGAACCAUCAGUGAUGCAUCUUGAUAACGCGGGAUACCCUUUCAAAGAAGAUUGGGCACAUGCUUGUGCUGAACAUCAGGACCGAUCUCAUCCACUCUGGUGCUACCCUCUCAAAUG